UAAUACGGAGGAUGCAAGCGUUAUCCGGAUUUAUUGGGUUUAAAGGGUGCGUAGGCGGAACGGUAAGUCAGUGGUGAAAUCCUGUUGCUUAACAACAGAACUGCCAUUGAUACUGCCGAUCUUGAGUACAUUUGAUGUGGGCGGAAUGUGUCGUGUAGCGGUGAAAUGCUUAGAUAUGACACAGAACACCGAUUGCGAAGGCAGCUCACAAAACUGUAACUGACGCUGAGGCACGAAAGCGUGGGUAUCAAACAGGAUUAGAUACCCUGGUAGUCCACGCUGUAAACCAUGAAUACUCGAUGUGUGCGAUACACUGUACGCGUCCAAGCGAAAGCGUUAAGUAUUCCACCUGGGGAGUACGGUCGCAAGGCUG
Molecule: ribosomal RNA, 373 nt
Filed under: uncultured bacterium
Lineage: Bacteria
Description: bacterial SSU rRNA
Rfam family: Bacterial small subunit ribosomal RNA
Source: RNAcentral